This 253-nucleotide ribosomal RNA is filed under the name uncultured bacterium. RNAcentral's name for it is "partial 16S ribosomal RNA". It matches the Rfam family "Bacterial small subunit ribosomal RNA", at positions 524 to 776 of the family's 1533-position model. The record is from RNAcentral.
UACGUAGGCCGCGAGCGUUGUUCGGAUUUACUGGGCGUAAAGGGUGUGUAGGCGGUUUUCUAAGUUUGGUGUGAAAUCUCCCGGCUUAACCGGGAGGGUGCGCCGAAAACUGGGAGACUAGAGUGCGGGAUGGGAGAGUAGAAUUCCUGGUGUAGCGGUGAAAUGCGUAGAUAUCAGGAGGAAUACCGGUGGUGCAGACGGCUCUCUGGACCGCAACUGACGCUGAGACACGAAAGCGUGGGUAGCAAACAGG